RNAcentral lists this ribosomal RNA (407 nucleotides) under uncultured bacterium. RNAcentral's name for it is "partial 16S ribosomal RNA". It matches the Rfam family "Bacterial small subunit ribosomal RNA", at positions 30 to 526 of the family's 1533-position model. The record is from RNAcentral.
AUUGAACGCUGGCGGCAGGCCUAACACAUGCAAGUCGAGCGGAGCGGCGGACGGGUGAGUAAUGACUAGGAAUCUGCAUGGUCGUGGGGGAUAACGUCCGCAAACGGGCGCUAAUACCACAUACUAUCAGAUGAGCCUAGGGCGGAUUAGCUAGUGGGUGGGGGAAAGGCAUACCAAGGCGCCGAUCCGUAACUGGCCUGAGAGGAUGAGCAGUCAAACUGGAUCUGAGACACGGUCCAGACUCCUACGGGAGGCAGCAGUGGGGAAUAUUGGACAAUGGGCGAAAGCCUGAUCCAGCCAUGCCGCGUGUGUGAAGAAGGUCUUCGGAUUGUAAAGCACUUUAAGUUGGGAGGCGUUACCAACAGAAUAAGCACCGGCUAACUUCGUGCCAGCAGCCGCGGUAAUAC